RNAcentral lists this small RNA (865 nucleotides) under Entomoplasma freundtii. RNAcentral's name for it is "bacterial LSU rRNA". The stretch from base 364 to 865 matches the Rfam family "Bacterial large subunit ribosomal RNA", at positions 1 to 501 of the family's 2925-position model. Lineage: Bacteria; Bacillati; Mycoplasmatota; Mollicutes; Entomoplasmatales; Entomoplasmataceae. The record is from RNAcentral.
UACACACCGCCCGUCACACCAUGAGAGUUGGUAAUACCAGAAGUAGGUAGCUUAACCGUAAGGGGAGCGCUUCCCAAGGUAGGAUUAGCGAUUGGGGUGAAGUCGUAACAAGGUAUCCGUACGGGAACGUGCGGAUGGAUCACCUCCUUUCUAUGGAGUAAAAACUGAUAUCUAGUUUGUGAAAUCUAGAUUGACUAUUCUGUUCUAUUUAGUUUUCAGAGGUUGUUAAUUCAAUCUCUGAAAAGAAUUGUUCUUUGAAAACUGAAUAUUAGAUGAAAUAUACAAUUUUUCUUAUUGUUUAUUUAGACAUCAAAAAUAAAUCUAAAAAAAACUAAAAUUUAUAAAUUGCAAAAUAGAUUUUUUCUAAAAAAUAGUAAGGGCAUAUGGUGAAUGCCUUGGAAAAUGGAGCCGAAGAAGGACGUGACUACCUGCGAAAAGCAUCGGGGAGCUGGAAGUGAGCUUAGAUCCGGUGAUGUCCGAAUGGGGAAACCCAGUACGAUUUACCUCGUAUUGUCUGACUAGUGAAUACAUAGCUAGCAUGACGGGAACCUUGGGAAUUGAAACAUCUUAGUACCAAGAGGAAUAGAAAAUAAUAAUGAUUCUCCUAGUAGCGGCGAGCGAACGGGGAAGAGGCCAAACCGCUUUUCGAAGCGGGGUUGUAGGACUUUUGUUAGAGUUACAAAAUUGACAUAUAGUAGAACAGAUUGGGAAAUCUGAGCGUAGAGGGUGAUACUCCCGUAUACGAAAUGUGUCAAUCUCGAAAAAGUUAUCCUGAGUACGGCGAAGCACGUGAAACUUUGUCGGAAUUAGCCGAGACCACUCGGUAAGCCUAAAUACUCCCAUUUUACCGAUAGUGAACCAGUAC